RNAcentral lists this long non-coding RNA (299 nucleotides) under Fukomys damarensis (Damara mole-rat). RNAcentral's name for it is "lncRNA (ENSFDAG00000024477.1)". The record is from RNAcentral. Lineage: Eukaryota; Metazoa; Chordata; Mammalia; Rodentia; Bathyergidae.
GUAACAGGGAAAAUUUGGAACUGGUCAUUGCUGUUGCAAGAAUGAGAAGUGUAACAAGUGGAUAAGAGAGGAAAGAAGUUCGGGUAACCAGCAGAUGCAGAGUUUAAGUACGGUGCCGACUACGUAAGACCUCAUUACAGCACAGCAGCAAGAGUUAACAGCUGUCCCCUGAACAUCAAGUCUUGCCCAGAAGGACACAGGCCCCGCUCCUCCUGUACGUGCAGACCUUCUUCCAGGCUCCCCUGUCCAUGUGUUUCUGCCACGGCUCACAAAAGCAGGCGUUCUGAGCACCAACGGGG